Oncorhynchus tshawytscha (Chinook salmon) is the source of this 582-nucleotide long non-coding RNA. NCBI's taxonomy places the organism in Eukaryota, Metazoa, Chordata, Actinopteri, Salmoniformes, Salmonidae. The record is from Ensembl.
GGGUGAUGUGUGAGGGUGAGGGGUGGACGGGUGGAGGGUGAUGGGUGGAGGGUGACGGGUGGAGGGUGAUGUGUGAGGGUGAGGGGUGGACGGGUGGAGGGUGAUGGGUGGAGGGUGACGGGUGGAGGGUGAUGGGUGGAGGGUGAGGGGUGGACGGGUGAUGGGUGGAGGGUGACGGGUGAAGGGUGACGGGUGGAGGGUGAUGGCUGGAGGGUGAUGGGUGGAGGGUGAUGGUUGACGGUGAGGGGUGGACGGAUGGAGGGUGAUGGGUGAAGGGUGACGGGUGGAGGGUGAUGUGUGAGGGUGAGGGGUGGACGGGUGGAGGGUGAUGGGUGGAGGGUGACGGGUGGAGGGUGAUGUGUGAGGGUGAGGGGUGGACGGGUGGAGGGUGAUGGGUGGAGGGUGAUGGGUGGAGGGUGAUGGGUGACGGGUGGAGGGUGAUGGUUGAGGGUGAGGGGUGGACGGGUGGAGGGUGACGGGUGGGGGGUGACGGGUGGAGGGUGAUGGGUGGAGGGUGAUGGUUGACGGUGAGGGGUGGACGGAUGGAGGGUGAUGGGUGAAGGGUGAUGGGUGGAGGGUGAC